This 427-nucleotide ribosomal RNA is filed under the name uncultured bacterium. RNAcentral's name for it is "bacterial SSU rRNA". It matches the Rfam family "Bacterial small subunit ribosomal RNA", at positions 355 to 774 of the family's 1533-position model. The record is from RNAcentral.
UGGGGAAUUUUGGACAAUGGACGCAAGUCUGAUCCAGCCAUGCCGCGUGCGGGAAGAAGGCCUUCGGGUUGUAAACCGCUUUUGUCAGGGAAGAAACGAGUUUCUCUAAUACAGAGACUUAAUGACGGUACCUGAAGAAUAAGCACCGGCUAACUACGUGCCAGCAGCCGCGGUAAUACGUAGGGUGCAAGCGUUAAUCGGAAUUACUGGGCGUAAAGCGUGCGCAGGCGGUUAUAUAAGACAGAUGUGAAAUCCCCGGGCUCAACCUGGGACCUGCAUUUGUGACUGUAUAGCUAGAGUACGGUAGAGGGGGAUGGAAUUCCGCGUGUAGCAGUGAAAUGCGUAGAUAUGCGGAGGAACACCGAUGGCGGAGGCAAUCCCCUGGGCCUGUACUGACGCUCAUGCACGAGAGCGUGGGGAGCAAACA